This 72-nucleotide transfer RNA is filed under the name Phrynosoma platyrhinos (Desert horned lizard). RNAcentral's name for it is "tRNA-OTHER". Lineage: Eukaryota; Metazoa; Chordata; Lepidosauria; Squamata; Phrynosomatidae. The record is from RNAcentral.
UGAGGUCUAGGGUAGUGGUUUGAGUGUUGGACUAUGACUCUGGAGACCAGGGUUCAAUUCCCAGCUUGUCCA